RNAcentral lists this ribosomal RNA (238 nucleotides) under uncultured bacterium. RNAcentral describes it as "partial 16S ribosomal RNA". It matches the Rfam family "Bacterial small subunit ribosomal RNA", at positions 90 to 333 of the family's 1533-position model. The record is from RNAcentral.
ACCUAGUGGCGCACGGGUGAGUAACGCGUAAUUGACCUACCCCGAAGUCUGGAAUAACUGGGCGAAAGUUCAGCUAAUACCGGAUACCCACAUCCCUUGUGAGGGAUGUGGAAAGAUUUAUUGCUUUGGGAUGGGGUUACGUUCCAUCAGCUGGUUGGCGGGGUAAAGGCCCACCAAGGCGACGACGGAUAGCCGGCCUGAGAGGGUGGCCGGCCACAGGGGCACUGAGACACGGCCC